GACGAACCGUGCGAACGUUGUUCGGAAUCACUGGGCUUAAAGGGCGCGUAGGCGGUCUAGCCAGUCCGGGGUGAAAGCCUCCAGCUCAACUGGAGAAGUGCCUUGGAUACUGCUGGACUCGAGCGAGGUAGGGGUGAUGGGAACUUCCGGUGGAGCGGUGAAAUGCGUUGAUAUCGGAAGGAACGCCGGUGGCGAAAGCGCCUCACUGGACCUCUUCUGACGCUGAGGCGCGAAAGCCAGGGGAGCAAACGGG
RNAcentral lists this ribosomal RNA (253 nucleotides) under uncultured prokaryote. RNAcentral describes it as "partial 16S ribosomal RNA". It matches the Rfam family "Bacterial small subunit ribosomal RNA", at positions 524 to 776 of the family's 1533-position model. The record is from RNAcentral.